RNAcentral lists this ribosomal RNA (301 nucleotides) under uncultured bacterium. RNAcentral's name for it is "partial 16S ribosomal RNA". It matches the Rfam family "Bacterial small subunit ribosomal RNA", at positions 509 to 807 of the family's 1533-position model. The record is from RNAcentral.
CAGCCGCCGCGGUAAUACGGAGGGUGCAAGCGUUAAUCGGAAUUACUGGGCGUAAAGCGCACGCAGGCGGUCUGACAAGUCAGAUGUGAAAUCCCCGGGCUUAACCUGGGAACUGCAUUUGAAACUGUCAGGCUGGAGUCUUGUAGAGGGGGGUGGAAUUCCAGGUGUAGCGGUGAAAUGCGUAGAGAUCUGGAGGAAUACCGGUGGCGAAGGCGGCCCCCUGGACAAAGACUGACGCUCAGGUGCGAAAGCGUGGGGAGCAAACAGGAUUAGAUACCCGUGUAGUUUCUGUCUCUUAUAC